AAUAGCCAAUAAUUCCUUCUCAUACACAGAUAGAACCUCGCUUCUUAGCCCAAAAGCUUUUGAAAUAUAGGCCAAAGGAUGGCCUUGCUGCUAUAGGAUUGCCCCCAUGCCAAAACUAUUAGCAUCUGUUUCAACUAUAAAGGGCUUUAUGAAAUAUGGUAAAGCUAAGACUGGUGCCUCUGCCAUAGCCUUCCUUAGCAACUCAAAGGCAUCUUGAGUGUCCUCAGACCAUUUAAAAGCAUCCUUUUUUAAUAAAUCCGUCAAUGGUUUACUAAUCACACCAUAAUUCUUGACAAAUUUUCUGUAGUAUCCAGUAAGGCCCAAAAAAAAUUCUUGAUUCUUUAACUGAUUGAGGAACAGGCCAAGUUACCAUCACUUUGAUUUUAUCAGGGUCAUUAGCUACUCCACUAGAUAUCACAUGUCCCAAAUAUUCUAUUUCAAACUUCCCAAAGGAAUACUUAAACAACUUAGCAUACAAUUGCUUCUGUUGGAGAAUUUGGAAUACUGUUUCCAAAUGUUUAAGGUGGAGAGAAAAGGUAGGGCUAUGUACAAGUAUAUCAUCAAAGAAAACUAAGACAAAUUUCCUCAAGUAGGGUUGAAAAAUAUUAUAGAAAGUCAAUCACUAUAUUGUUUCUUUGUAUAUUCUGUAUUCUAUAUUCCCAUUUAGGAUUUCUUCCUGAUUAGUAGAACACAAUUAUAGGA
RNAcentral lists this unclassified non-coding RNA (702 nucleotides) under Hevea brasiliensis (rubber tree). The record is from RNAcentral. Lineage: Eukaryota; Viridiplantae; Streptophyta; Magnoliopsida; Malpighiales; Euphorbiaceae.